AUGCUUUCUCGUCGAUGGAGGAAAUGCUACUCCCAAAACAGGGAAAGCAUGUCACAGUAAGAGGGUUCAGAACAGCCUUCUCCACAACACUUUGUUUUAUGUGCAGGGAAGUUCAGUGUGGAGGAUAUUUAAAAAGGCAUAAAAUAAUGAUGUCUGUGUUAUUUAACUCUUCUUUAUAAGAUGGAGCAGUCUGUUUUGCAUGACUACACUUUUAACUCCAUGCACUGAAAGGCAUUUUCACAGGGCUACCAUAUGCUUAUUUUACUUAUCAGAAAUGCUCUAUGGAAGCUCUAAGACACAGACAUUUUAUGACUCUUUGACUGAAGGAUACUCAAAUCUUGUAAAAAAUACAUUUAUAAUUAUUUUGAGCAAGGGAAAGGAGGACUUUCAAAAUUCAAACCAGUGGCUGUACAGAAUGUCUGUUUUAGGCAAAACUUUGGCUAAAUCCUAAAGGUAACUAAACUACAUAUGUGAUUACUAUUGUGCCCUAGACACCACACUAGGGUGUUGAUAUUUAACCCUAACUGUUGAACAACUUUGUACCUGAACUUAGCAUUUCUGUAUUUGCCAGCCUGCACCACAGAGUUGAUUACAAAGAGCACCCUUAUCUUGAAAAAGGACCAGUUGGUUAUAAACUUUCAUCCCUGCAGCUGCACAGUAUUAACAAAGCUCUGGAGCAACAAUGCAUUUCCAAGCAAAAUAACCGGAGGAACUUGGCUCCCACCCACUCCUCUAUCGGGAAACUGCAGCUCCCAGGAGCCUUUGCGGUAAACAGUAGAUGACGAAAAUGUGACGUAACUUCCUGCUCGGAACGUAAGAUGGCGACUGCUGCGAGGCAACGUGUGAGCGAUGUAGUGCUUGGCGCACAUUUAGGAUACACGGUGAUUCCAGUCAAAUUUUCUGAAAAGCAUCAGUCACCUCAUUACCUGUAUGUGAAGGAGCACAAAGUCAGAGAGGACACAGAUCCUAACAGGCCUCAAAACCGCACUCUUUUUGUCUUGAAUGUUCCACCAUAUUGUACAGAGGAAUGUUUGUCAAGACUGUUCUCCGGCUUCUGCUCUGUACAGUCUGUGGAGAUGUGUGAAAAGCCAAGGCUGGGCGAAAAAAGAGAAGCACCCAAGUCCAAGUUCUUCCAUUCUAAGAGACCUUUGGGCUUCCAGGUUGCUUAUGUUGUGUUCAAGAGUCCUGCUGGGGUAAAGGCUGCCCAGUCCUUAUCAACACAAGAGCCCCUUGUGAUCUCUUCAGACAGACAUCCCCUCCAAACUGGCAUUCAUAAAUGGAUUGCCAGGUAUGCAGCUUCAAUUGUGGAUCCUGCUGAGCUGAAGGCAGAAGUGGAUGCCUUCAUGCAAGCCUAUGACCAAAAGGUUGCAAAGGAAGAAGCCAAGGCUGAGGAAGAAGAUGGUGUCCCAGAUGAGGAGGGAUGGGUGAAAGUGACAAGGAAAGGUCGAAGGCCUGGAAUCCCAUGGACAGAAGCAGCCAACUUGCGAGCACUGGAGAAGGAGAAACGCAAGAGAGCAUGCAAGGAAUUGCUUAACUUCUAUGCAUGGCAGCAUCGUGAGACUAAGAGAGAACACAUAGCUCAGCUGAGGAAGAAAUUUGAAGAAGACAAGCAGAAAAUUGCACUAAUGCGUGCACAGCGAAAGUUUCGGCCCUACUGAGUUCUAGAAUCUGCAGUUCCCAGAAGAGCAGAACUGCUGUAGGAAGUGCACAGACAGAGAUUUUCAUGGGACAUUGAGGAAACCAGCCUUGAUGUCUCCUUUUCCCACUGACAUAUCUCCUGUGCUGUAAGAAAUGAAAUGCUGUAAAGCUAAGAAACAAUCACCGUUUGCUAAGACUAUACAGCUGCCACAGGAAGCUCUGCAACGUCUCCUUUUCCAAAGCUGAAGAGGGAAGAAAGGCAACAUACUGGUGGAAGGCAUGGGAGGGAGAAGGAAAGACAUGGAUUCACAAGACACAGAAGUUUCUUCAUCACCUGCCCCUGCCUACUGGAAGGUAGAAAAGCUACAUGUAUUGUAGGGUUUUUACUGGAAGAAUGACACAGAGAUUGGUAACAUUCAGUAAGUAAUCUAGUAAAAUUCCUGUGUCCAAAAGCCAAAACAGUUUCUUGAAAACAUGGCAAGGCCUUGUGGCCUUCAGCUUGUUAGGAAAUGCACUGCAGAUCAUUGCCUUGAAACUGCCUUCUCCAAUCCUGAUGGAUUCUGCAAUGCUAGGGAGAACUUUAUAAAAUCCAUGAAGUCUUGUGCCUAGUAAAGCAGGCACUGUCUUUUGUUCUUGGCCAGGGGAGAGGAAUGAUGCAACAUUUGCCUAGGCAACCCUUGGAGACCCACAGAGCAUCCCUCAGUCUACUGAGAGAAUCAGCAGGCCACAGAAAAGGGGCAUGUUAAGUUUUCUUUAGUGUGCAUCUCUAUUUCACCAUAGUACUCAGUAAACUGUCCAUUUUCUUUGACAGCUGGUUUCAUUUCUUAAGUAUUCUUGAAUCCAAUGUGUAUCGGCUGGACCAAGCCCCCACAAUUAAAACAAAGGCCUAUCUAGCUAAAAACAAAAGUGGAUGCACAGGACACCAUACAAAAAGCCUCUUUCCUCCUCCUGCCCUGCUGGAUUCUUGCUGGCAGGGCUGUGGAUAGGCAGAGGACUCUAAGCACGGGGUAUAACCAUUUCCAACCACUUCCACGGCUUUUGAUGUUUAGCCUAGAACUUCCACUUGCUAUUCCUUGUGAGAAAGGAUCAUAGAAGGUAAAAAUAAAUUAUUUUGUCUUAUUUAAUAACUUUAGAGACAAAGUAUUUGUUUUGAUUACUUUCAAAAGCUGUUUUACAGCAGUGGACAGACAUACUAAACUCCUUUACACACCUCAUCCCCCCACCCCCACUGAACCUUCCUUGUACCUAACAAACCGAUUUUCCAAUGCAUGAAGUUCAGGCUGAACUUACUAGUUCUGCUUCUGGGUAAUUCUGGCUUUACUAGGUGCAAGACUUCAGUUGCAACUCUCACUAAACCCCUUUCUCUAUGUAUUCACAGAUACCUUCAAAUAAAAGACUGGAAGCUGCCUUACAGUUGGCCUGUGUUGCCCACUACUGUCAAUAGGCUGGUUUGCAUAAUUGUGCUGGUCAAACACAAUCAAAUUUUACCCCUGCAGUCAAGAUGCUUCUAUGAAUUAAAUGAAUGUAAAAUGCAAAA
RNA transcript from Varanus komodoensis (Komodo dragon), 3175 nucleotides. It is a transcript of the gene named ribosomal RNA processing 7 homolog A, with no coding region annotated. The record is from RefSeq and is a predicted model, not a curated record. Lineage: Eukaryota; Metazoa; Chordata; Lepidosauria; Squamata; Varanidae. The transcript has 9 exons.